GACGAACGCUGGCGGCGUGCCUAAUACAUGCAAGUAGAACGCUGAAGGAGGAGCUUGCUUCUCUGGAUGAGUUGCGAACGGGUGAGUAACGCGUAGGUAACCUGCCUGGUAGCGGGGGAUAACUAUUGGAAACGAUAGCUAAUACCGCAUAACAGUAGAUGUUGCAUGACAUUUGCUUAAAAGGUGCAAUUGCAUCACUACCAGAUGGACCUGCGUUGUAUUAGCUAGUUGGUGGGGUAACGGCUCACCAAGGCGACGAUACAUAGCCGACCUGAGAGGGUGAUCGGCCACACUGGGACUGAGACACGGCCCAGACUCCUACGGGAGGCAGCAGUAGGGAAUCUUCGGCAAUGGACGGAAGUCUGACCGAGCAACGCCGCGUGAGUGAAGAAGGUUUUCGGAUCGUAAAGCUCUGUUGUAAGAGAAGAACGAGUGUGAGAGUGGAAAGUUCACACUGUGACGGUAUCUUACCAGAAAGGGACGGCUAACUACG
Molecule: ribosomal RNA, 493 nt
Filed under: uncultured Bacilli bacterium
Lineage: Bacteria; Bacillati; Bacillota; Bacilli
Description: bacterial SSU rRNA
Rfam family: Bacterial small subunit ribosomal RNA
Source: RNAcentral